RNAcentral lists this ribosomal RNA (251 nucleotides) under uncultured prokaryote. RNAcentral's name for it is "partial 16S rRNA". It matches the Rfam family "Bacterial small subunit ribosomal RNA", at positions 525 to 775 of the family's 1533-position model. The record is from RNAcentral.
ACAGAGAUGGCUACCGUUGUUCGGAAUCACUGGGCUUAAAGGGUACGUAGGCGGGGAUGCAAGUCGGUUGUGAAAGCCCAUGGCUUACCCAUGGAAAGUCAGCCGAAACUGCGUUUCUUGAGUGCGGUAGGGGAGAGUGGAACUUUUGGUGAAGCGGUGAAAUGCGUUGAUAUCAGGAGGAACGCCGGAGGCGAAAGCGGCUCUCUAGACCGUUACUGACGCUGAGGUGCGAAAGCGAGGGGAGCAAACAG